UUUUUUGGAGGGGCCAAACAUUAAAGACUAGGACAUAUGGAACAAGCUCAUACACAAUGGAAAUUAAGUCACUACAUAAACCCAGGGAAAGGGGUACAGACUCAGAAAACACUUAAGAAGACCUUAUGUUUGCACCUCAGGCUAAUCUUCAGCAUACAGAUAGCCUACAACCACGCCCCAAAAACCAACCCGAAAACAAGACUCAGGAAGCUCUGGGAAGGGAGAGAAUCUGAUUUUUAAAGUUACCACAUUACUAGACCCAAAUGUUCAGUUUUGAACAAAAAAAAGUCACGAGGUAUAUGUAUUGGUCCAUUUUCAUGCUGUUGAAAAAGACAUACCCGAGAUUGAGCAAUUUACAAAAGAAAGAGGUUUCUUGGACUUACAGUUCCAAAUGACUGGGGAGGCCUCACAAUCAUGGCAGAAGGCAACGUGGAGCAAGUCACAUCUUACGUGGAUGGCAGCAGGCAAAAAAAUAACUUGUGCAGGGGAACUCCCAUUUUUAAAACCAACAGAUCUUGUGAGACCCAUUCACUAGCACAAGAACAGCACAGGAAAGACCCACCCCCAUGAUUCAGUCAUCUCCCACCGCGUCCCUCUCACAACAUGUGGGAGUUAUGGGAGCUACAAGAAGAACUUUGGGUGCAGACACAGAGCCAAACCAUAUCAGUAUACAAAGAAACAGUAAAGCAUGGACCAUUCAAAGGAAAAAAAGAAAUCAACAGAAACUUCCUUGAAAAGACCUGAUGGCUGGGGAAUCUACCAGAUAUAAAAACAACUGUCUUAAAGAUGCUCAGAGAACUAGAGGAAGACGUAGAAAAGGUCAGGAAAACAAAAUAUAAACAGGAUGCAUCCCAUGACGCUCAUCCAAAUGAAACCAUUUGGUAGGGCACACCCUCAGAAUCACGAUGGGUGCCUUGUGUACAGGAGGCCAAACUUUAUAUAAGUAUUGUACAUUUAGCAGUGGGAACUACAAUCUCUGGCCAUAGUAAAGGUGCUAGAGGAAUCAACAAUUAAGUGCAUGGCGACUCCCUGUGACAGUGUUAUUUCUGAAUCUCCCAGGGUCACCUGUCAUUCUCGCCCACAACUGGGAAUGACAGUGACCUAAGCCCCAGUGUCCAAGAGACUCAUAAAAGUUUGUGUAGUACCCUUUUCCCCUACCUCUGAAACUAGGAGUUCAGUUCCCAUUGGUGGCCCCAAAUCUUGGUCCCAUCUUUAGUCUGUCUUCUCCAAAGAUGUUAGCUCAAGAUAUAAUGGUGGAAGUGGUUCCUUUUCAAGUAGUUUCUCUCUGGCACCCACCAAUGUCUCUGCUGUUUUGUACCCUUCAAGUGUUGGUGGGAACAUGCAGGGCAGAGAACCAGUCAGCAAAAUCAACCCAGUCAAACAAGCGUUCCUCUUGCUGUUCAAUUGCUUGAACCAAGCAUUUAACAUUAAGAUCUCAGGAUUCAGGCGGGGCUCAGUGGCUCACGCCUGUAAUCCCAGCACUUUGGAUCUGCUGCACAGAUCAACCCCAUCACUAAUAUUAAGCCCAGCAUCCAUUAGCUAUUCUCCCUGAUGCUCUCCCUUCCCCACUCCCUGAGAGGCCCCAGUGUGUGUUGUUCCCUGCCAUGUGUCCAUGU
Macaca fascicularis (crab-eating macaque) is the source of this 1616-nucleotide long non-coding RNA. NCBI's taxonomy places the organism in Eukaryota, Metazoa, Chordata, Mammalia, Primates, Cercopithecidae. The record is from Ensembl.